Balaenoptera acutorostrata (minke whale) is the source of this 4583-nucleotide long non-coding RNA. RefSeq lists it as uncharacterized. The record is from RefSeq and is a predicted model, not a curated record. The transcript has 3 exons. Lineage: Eukaryota; Metazoa; Chordata; Mammalia; Artiodactyla; Balaenopteridae.
GUCAUUAGCUUGGCAGAGCCGGCCGGGCUCCGCAGUUGGGCCUGAGUGGUCCCGGGAGGCCCAGGCGGCCAGCACUGCCUGCGACCAGACCUUAUGCCGGAUAAUCAGGGUGAAGAAUCAGCCGGCUGCGACCGGCAUCCCAACCACACCCCCCAGGGCAGCCUAGGUGAGGAGCCCCACUGACAUCCCGGUCCUCUGCAACUGUCUCUCAACUGAUUCUGAGCCCAGGAGAGUGCUUUUAUCUCAGUCGCCACGACACCCCUGCGAAGUCUGAAGAUGUGGUCUUCCUCACGUUGUAGAUGAAGAGACUGAGGGUCAGAGUGGGGAAGGAGCCUGCCCAAGGUCACCCAGCCGUAAGCAGCACGGCCAGGACCUGAACACGGGACUUCUGGCAUGCAUGUGCAGACCAGUCCCACUGCCCCAGGCUGCCUCCAUGGCCCCGAAGGCAGGGCACAAAUAGCUCUCAAAGGCCGCCAAGCACAGCUGGAUUCCUUACACUCAAGUUCAAGCAGGCGUAUUCAGACAUUCAGAUGGAAGGCUCAGAGAACCCCUUCCAGCCCUGCACAGCAGAAGGAAGGGGGCCACGAGCAGGGGCUGCUCAGAUGAGACUUGCCCACUGGGGCCAGGACACCACCCAGGACCCCGUAUGACAUCAAUCAUCCUGUCUCCUUAGCUCUUCUGGGCUGUGACGGUUUCUCAGACUGUCCUUGUUCUGGAUGACCUUGGCCGUUUGAGGAGGACUGACCAGGAAUUUUGUAGGCAGACCCUUGUCUGGGAUUUGCCUGAUGUUUUUCUCAGGAUUAGACUGGGGUCUUGGGUUUUGCAGGGAGACCACAGAGGUGAAGGGCCCUCAUCCCAUCCCCUCGGUGCGUUGCACGUGCCGUCAGCGUGGCUGAUCACUGUGACGUUGACCUUGAUCACCUGGCUGAGGUGUGGCUGUCAGGCGUCUGCUCUGCAAAGUCCCUCUUUACCCCACCCCCGUCUACGCUGUCCUCUUUGGGAAGAGGUCACUACGCACGGCUCACAUCUAGGGAGGUAGGGAUUAGGUCCCACUGGUGCUUUUUGUUUUGGCCAUAUAGACUUUUAAAAAAUUGUAUGUAGAAUUUAUCAAUAUUUUCUUUUGUAGUGUCUGGAUUUUUGCAUCUUAGCUAGAGACUCUGAGUUUAGAGAGCAAGUUGCUUAUGUUUUAUCUUAGUACCUAGAGUUUCACUUUUUCCAGUUAAAUUUUUGAUCUGUUUGGCAUUCAUCCUGUUGUAUACGGUGUAUAUGGAUUCAUUUUAUUCCAUGUGGCCACUCGUUUGUUCCAAUACCAUUGAUUGAAAAUUCCAUCUCUCUGCUUUUCACUGAUUUGAGGAGUGAAUCAUACCUAGAUUAUCAUACAAACACACACACACACACACACACACACACACACACACGGCCUUCUAUUCCGUUCCUUAAAUCUUCCCAUCUAUUCAUGAGCUACCACCUCACUUUUAGUUAUCAAGGCUUUACAGUAAUCUGAUAGCAUUAGAAUCCCGUCCCUGUUUUUUCCUGUUCUGAGCUUCUUCGGUUCUUCUUGUUUAUUUUUUCACGUGAAAUUCAGAAACCAUCUUUGGUAGUUCUGAGAAUGAGGGAAUCAGUUGGUGUAUUUCCUGGGAUGAUGCUAAAAUUAUAACUUAACUUAGGACAUAAGGACAGCCUAAUAUUAAAUUUUCCUCUCCAAAACCACAAGGUGUUUCUGUUCUUUCUUUGUCUUCAGGAGUUUCAAACUUUUCCUCAAACAGGUAUUGAUUAUCACGUUUAUUCCUUGGCAAUUCAUCCUUCUGUUGCAAUCGCAAAUGCAGUUGUCUAGAAAGCUUCUAACAGGUUGCUAUGUGUUUCUCUAAAGACUACUGACGUUUGUAAGUUAAUAACACACCCGCCGCCAUGCUGAAUUCUCUUAUUGUCUGCAGCAGUUUUUCCAUUGAGAUUCUCCUGGGUUUUCUACAGCAUCUCAAAUAGCGACUGUUUACUCCUUCUUUCCAGUUUUUACUUCAAAGCUGUUAAAAAUAGUUUGCCUCAAUUUGUCAGCUUUAAAUCAUAUUCUUCGAUCCACUGACAGUUCCAACUCUACAAACGUGACAGUCUGAGAGCUUAUUCCUCCUCUCUACCUUCUCUCCCUCGCUCUCUGUUCACUUAGGUGAAUCUUACACAUUAAUAUUUAUGUGUCAUCUUAUACAUGUAAUAUUUACAUUCUGUUCCAGCACGCUUACCCUGUUUGUUUUACUCUGUAGUUAAAUAUGCACGACGCUCAACCAGCGUUGGUGCCAAGCUUUCCCAAGCGUCUCGUGGUUGAUGGGGGUUGAGUUUCUAGUAGUUUCUCACGAACGGCUCAUGGGAACAACAUUUCCUGAGUUCCUGGCAGAUUUAAAACCUUUAGUCUGUGGCCUUUCAACGUGAAGGACAUCUUGGUUGCACAUAAGAUCCUUGGGUCCCCUUCUCCCUUCCCGCUCUCCUGUGUUCUGGACUGAAUGUUGCUGUGGAAAAGUUAGAAGCCGGCCCAGUUGUUCUCCCUCUAAAGCAACUUGAUUGCUUUUGCCUGGAUGCCUACGGAUCCUUUUGUUUCCAUUAAAAGUCAGUGACUUUACUGGGCUGUGACCCAAUGUUAACCCAGCACACACGUCAACUUCCCCUGGUACCUAGUGUGUCCUUGCAGUAUAGAAAUUAAAGUCUCCUUUUAUUUCAAUAAAUUUUCUUGAAUUACCUUUUUUUAAAUUAAAAAAAUUUUAAAUUAUUAUUAUUAAUUUUUGGGCUGCUUUGGGUCUUGGUUGCUGCACGCGGGCUUUCUCUAGUUGCAGCGAGCAGGGGCUACUCUUCGUUGCGGUGCGCGGGCUUCUCAUUGCGGUGGCUUCUCUUGUUGUGGAGCACGGACUCUAGGUGCGUGGGCUUCAGUAGUUGCAGCACACGGGCUCAGUAGUUGUGGCUCACGGGCUCUAGAGCGCAGGCUCGGUAGUUGUGGCGCACGGGCUUAGUUGCUCCACGGCACGUGGGAUCUUCCCGGACCAGGGAUCAAACCCGUGUCCCCUGCAUUGGCAGGCGGAUUCUUAACCACUGUGCCACCAGGGAAGUCCCUUGAAUUAUCUUUUAAAAACAGUGAAGCAUCACCACGCCAUGAAAAGUCAGGCCCAUCAGAUUCAAUCCUGUAAGACGUGUGCUCACGUCAACACAAGACUACUAAAAAUGACUGAGGUGGCCACAGAGCUGCUCAAACAGGGAUUCUGAGGUCCAGCGAGCUUCAGCCAAUUGAUGCCAGCACAGGCUGCAGUUUGGUUCCACCUGGUUUCAAUGUCACUUCUAGGGUCCUGUGGCUGAAUGGACAGUGGCCUCUAGGAAUCUGCCAGUCCUGGCACCCCCUUCACUGGCCUGAACUGGGAAGACUGGGCUGGGCCAAUACCAGUGGAGCCCAUGCUCUGCCUCCUGGUUCCCCACUCAGCCUUCUCUUCCCUCCAGCCCUUCCUUCGCAGAAGAUAACUUCAGCCCACCAUCACUGACAUAACAGAAGCAAACUGCCUACCACAUUAUAGCCAAAUUCAUAUCGCAGGGAACCGUGGGCAAGUUUUACUGUAGCUCUUCUGCCCCGUCAUCUCGCUUUUCUUCUUUAAAGCCUCCAAUUAUCCACCUGUUGUAUCUUCUUUGCUUGUCUUCUCUAGGUACCACUUCCUAAUAUUUAAAAAUCCAUUCUUUCUUUUUUGUUUUGUAUCCUUCUCUCACUCCUGCCUCCUAGGUCUUACUGUGUCUUCUGCUGUGUCUAUGGUGCCCUGUGCUCCUCCAGUUAUGUAUUUAUGUGAUGGUCUUACUAUUUUUUCCUGAAAUUUUUCAGCUCACGUUUCCCUCUCUCUAGUACUUCAGCCAUUUAGCCAUCUUUUCCUUCAGUCCUUGUCUUUCAGCACUGCAGUUUCCUUCUUAGUAGUGAUUAUUGUAUUCAUUUCUUUCUUUUAAUUCAUAGUAGAAUACUGGACUUUGGGGGUAGUAUUUUUUAUUUAUGGUAAACAUCGCUUCUCUUUCUCAUAUUUCUCCUUACGGUGGCUUUGUACUGACUUCACUCUUCCAAUACGGUGCCUCAGUGGGAUUCUGUUUUAUCACGCCUCCUUGCUGCCCAACAAGGUCAAGGAGGGUCUGUGGCAUCUCCUCUGCUCCUGGAGGCCUUACGGAGGUUCUCUUUCCAUAUUCCUUUGUGUGGUCCCAGCCCUGUCUACCCUAAGUGCAGCUCAUAGACACUGCCUGUCCUUUUGCACUUGAAUACAGACUUGUGAUCCUCAGUAUGGCUGACUCUUUCUGCAACCUGCAGCUCCCUGGCCUUCAGCAAGGCCCCGCCCACACCACUCAGUUCUGCUGCUUCAUAUAUAUAUGAAUACAUAAUUUAUACAUAUAUAUAUAUAAUUUUAUAUAUAUAUAAAAUUACAUAAUUUUCUAUGCUUCUUUGUAUCUCUGUGGUGCCAUAUUCCAAAGCACUAAUAACCUCUGUUCAUCCUGUCUAGUAAUUUUUUUUUAUUUCAAUCACCAUGUUUUUCAUUACCAGAUUUUCAAAUAAUUUUUGUAACCGUCUGAUGUUUUAUUUUCAU